Molecule: ribosomal RNA, 439 nt
Filed under: uncultured bacterium
Lineage: Bacteria
Description: bacterial SSU rRNA
Rfam family: Bacterial small subunit ribosomal RNA
Source: RNAcentral
AACGCGAAGAACCUUACCUGGGCUCGAAAUGUAGUGGAAUCCGGCAGAAACGUCGGCGUCUAGCAAUAGACCGCUAUAUAGGUGCUGCAUGGCUGUCGUCAGCUCGUGUCGUGAGAUGUUGGGUUAAGUCCCGCAACGAGCGCAACCCUUAUCUUCAGUUGCUACCAUUUAGUUGAGCACUCUGACGAAACCGCCUCGGAUAACGGGGAGGAAGGUGGGGAUGACGUCAAGUCCUCAUGGCCUUUAUGUCCAGGGCUACACACGUGCUACAAUGGCCGGUACAAACCGCUGCAAACCCGCGAGGGGGAGCUAAUCGGAAAAAGCCGGCCUCAGUUCGGAUUGGAGUCUGCAACUCGACUCCAUGAAGCUGGAAUCGCUAGUAAUCGUGGAUCAGCAUGCCACGGUGAAUACGUUCCCGGGCUUGUACACACCGCGCAUA